AUGCGCAAUCUGCAUAAGUCUGUUUGUCCCAACCUUGGUGAAGAUUUUGAAACUGACAUUAAGCAAACAUAUAUGCCUGAACUGCUCAAUGCGAAUAGCCUCUGUCUUCUUAGGAAGAAGAUUUAUCGUUCCAAAAUUGAGCUUGAACAAAUGAAGCUGACCAUUGAAAAACUCAUGAAACAUCGGCAUCAGGUCUCCCUUAAUGAAGUGCCGGCACUUUUUGUAAAACUCCGCCGGGAACCCAUCCGGUCAUGGCGCUUUAUUGUUUUUCAUUUGUGCAAUGGCCUCAAACACCUCCUUUUGAAGAGUGGUAGUCGGAACUGUAGCAGUAGACCCAACAGGGGCAAAGUCACCAGAAUCAGACGGGCCCGAAGGCCCCUUGGCAUUGUCAUCAUCACUCUUAGCAUUAUCAUCCUGGUUCCCCGAAGCACCUCCUCCCUCAAAAUUGUCCAUGGGAUUAUCAUCCUCAAACUCACGGAAAAGAUUAGGAUCCUCAUACUCAACAGAAAGCAUGAUAGCUCACACAAAAUUCGACUUGUUUCCUUGGUUGCAACCUCAGUACAAGCACGAGCAUAA
Molecule: ribosomal RNA, 576 nt
Filed under: Triticum aestivum (bread wheat)
Lineage: Eukaryota; Viridiplantae; Streptophyta; Magnoliopsida; Poales; Poaceae
Description: partial small subunit ribosomal RNA
Source: RNAcentral